This 564-nucleotide ribosomal RNA is filed under the name uncultured bacterium. RNAcentral describes it as "bacterial SSU rRNA". It matches the Rfam family "Bacterial small subunit ribosomal RNA", at positions 331 to 912 of the family's 1533-position model. The record is from RNAcentral.
GGAGACAUUACGGGAGGCAGCAGUGGGGAAUAUUGGACAAUGGGGGCAACCCUGAUCCAGCAAUGCCGCGUGUGUGAAGAAGGCCUUCGGGUUGUAAAGCUCUUUCGGCUGGAACGAUAAUGACGGUACCAGCAGAAGAAGCUGCGGCUAACUACGUGCCAGCAGCCGCGGUAAUACGUAGGCAGCGAGCGUUGUUCGGAGUUACUGGGCGUAAAGAGUGCGUAGGCGGUGCGGCAAGUCUGGUGUGAAAUCUCCCGGCUUAACUGGGAGGGUGCGCUAGAAACUGCCGUGCUAGAGUGUGGGAGAGGUAAGCGGUAUUCCUGGUGUAGCGGUGAAAUGCGUAGAUAUCAGGAGGAACACCUGCGGUGUAGACAGCUUACUGGACCAUAACUGACGCUGAGGCACGAAAGCGUGGGUAGCACCACAGGAUUUAGAUACCCUGGUAGUCCACGCCCUAAACGAUGCAUACUUGGUGUGGGUGAUUCAUUUCAUCCGUGCCGGAGCUAACGCGUUAAGUAUGCCGCCUGGGGAGUACGGUCGCAAGGCUGAAACUCAAAGGAAUUG